RNAcentral lists this ribosomal RNA (380 nucleotides) under uncultured eukaryote. RNAcentral's name for it is "partial 18S ribosomal RNA". It matches the Rfam family "Eukaryotic small subunit ribosomal RNA", at positions 592 to 976 of the family's 1831-position model. The record is from RNAcentral.
CAAUAGCGUAUAUUAAAGUUGUUGCAGUUAAAAAGCUCGUAGUUGGAUUUGUGGCGUACGGUGUGUUCCGGGCACUUGUUGUCUGAGUAACCUGCUGUUGCCAUCCUUGGGUGGAACCUGUGUGGCAUUAGGUUGUCGUGCAGGGGAUGCCCAUCAUUUACUGUGAAAAAAUUAGAGUGUUCAAAGCAGGCUUAUGCCGUUGAAUAUAUUAGCAUGGAAUAAUGAGAUAGGACUUUUUUGCUAUUUUGUUGGUUUGCGCAAAGAGGUAAUGAUUAAUAGGGACAGUUGGGGGUAUUCGUAUUCCAUUGUCAGAGGGGAAAUUCUUGGAUUUUUGGAAGACGAACUACUGCGAAAGCAUUUACCAAGGAUGUUUUCAUUAA